UACGUAGGGGGCAAGCGUUGUCCGGAUUUAUUGGGCGUAAAGAGCGUGUAGGCGGUCAGGUAGGUCCGUUGUGAAAACUGGAGGCUUAACCUCCAGACGUCGGUGGAAACCGUAUGACUAGAGUCCGGAAGAGGAGAGUGGAAUUCCUGGUGUAGCGGUGAAAUGCGCAGAUAUCAGGAAGAACACCCGUGGCGAAGGCGGCUCUCUGGGACGGUACUGACGCUGAGACGCGAAAGCGUGGGGAGCGAACAGG
Molecule: ribosomal RNA, 253 nt
Filed under: uncultured bacterium
Lineage: Bacteria
Description: partial 16S ribosomal RNA
Rfam family: Bacterial small subunit ribosomal RNA
Source: RNAcentral